Zingiber officinale is the source of this 574-nucleotide long non-coding RNA. RefSeq lists it as uncharacterized. The transcript has 3 exons. The record is from RefSeq and is a predicted model, not a curated record. Lineage: Eukaryota; Viridiplantae; Streptophyta; Magnoliopsida; Zingiberales; Zingiberaceae.
ACCACAAGCCAUACAACUCCAUUCGCACUUCCUAUAAGCAGAAGCAGAGCAUGGCGCAGCGGCUUGCAUAUUUGUUUCUCUUAGUGCUUGUCUUCUACACCGUCAUCGUCGUCUCGCCGGCGGCUUUGGCUACCAGAGUGAUGAGCAAUCAUGCGUUUGUUCAAAAAAAAUUCAUCAGCAAGAACGACAAUUAUGGUGAUCCUCAAUAUCCUCCUACUUAUGCAACGUAUCCCAGACGGAAUCCGCCAUGCACUUAUCCUCCCUGUAAACGUUGAAAAGGAUAACAUCUCGACUAGAAUUAGGUUCGUAACCGUGGCUGUGCUACUGAACCAGUUAAUUAUAAGGCUGCGGCAAGUGUCCUACGAUAUAUGUUGGCUAGCUAUCUAAGUAUUAUUAUCUUAAAUAAAGUUGUCAUGUAUGGAGUACUUAUACUGUUGUAUUAGCACUCGUUCAGUAUGUUAAAUAAAGCCUGUUGCUUUUCAGGAAUACAAAAUAUAUAUAUAUAUAUAAAAGUUAGUGCAUAUGUUAACGGAGCUCCAAUUUAAAGAAAAACCAUGUUUGCUUGCUUGUAGAA